GAUGAACGCUGGCGGCGUGCCUAAUACAUGCAAGUCGAGCGAACAGACGAGGAGCUUGUUCCUCUGACGUUAGCGGCGGACGGGUGAGUAACACGUGGAUCACCUACUUAUAAGACUGGGAUAAUUUCGGGAAACCGGAGCUAAUACCGGAUAAUAUAUUGAACCGCAUGGUUCAAUAGUGAAUGACGGUUUUGCUGUCACUUAUAGAUGGAUUCGUGCCUCAUUAGCUAGUUGGUAAGGUAACGGCUUACCAAGGCAACGAUGCGUAGCCGACCUGAGAGGAUGAUCAGCCACACUGGAACUGAGACACGGUCCAGACUCCUACGGGAGGCAGCAGUAGGGAAUCUUGCGCAAUGGGCGAAAGCCUGACGGAGCAACGCCGCGUGAGUGAUGAAGGUCUUCGGAUCGUAAAACUCUGUUAUUAGGGAAGAACAAAUGUGUAAGUAACUAUGCACGUCUUGACGGUACCUAAUCAAAAAGCCACGGCUAACUACGUG
Molecule: ribosomal RNA, 497 nt
Filed under: uncultured bacterium
Lineage: Bacteria
Description: partial 16S ribosomal RNA
Rfam family: Bacterial small subunit ribosomal RNA
Source: RNAcentral